GACAUCCCCUAGCGGCGGCGACCAGGAAAAUCGUGAGGAACACAGAUCCAGCUUGUAGAUCCGGCACAGUUGAUUCCAUUAAUCUAGCUGUUAUCGCAUUGAGGCGUUUCUGUCCCUUCUAAAGUUCUGGUGGCGGCGGGCUUUGCUUCUCAUACUUGUCGUCGACAAAUAUGCAUAUUACCGGUUUGUAAUAUUGUUUUUUCCCUUGCGUCAGAACUCAUGGAUAUGAUUUUAUCUAUUCCGUUCUAGGCUAUAGUUCUACCUGGAGAAGAUCACUUGGCAAAUAUACUGUUUUUAGAUUAGAGUAUCACCUGAUACCUAGAUUCGUGAAUGUAACAUUACUUUCAGACAGAUAAAUCUUAUUCGUAAAUGUAACAUUACUUCUCAGACAGAUAAAUAUUUCAAGGUGUUUGAUGCUUCGAGAGAA
Sorghum bicolor (sorghum) is the source of this 427-nucleotide long non-coding RNA. RefSeq lists it as uncharacterized. NCBI's taxonomy places the organism in Eukaryota, Viridiplantae, Streptophyta, Magnoliopsida, Poales, Poaceae. The transcript has 2 exons. The record is from RefSeq and is a predicted model, not a curated record.